UUGUACUUUUACAUUUUUUUCUUUAUUCCGCAAGAUAAAAACUUGCGGAAUCGCAUUUAAACAUCAAUUUUAUAUUCUACAAGAUUACCAAUCAAGACCACAGUGUUGUAAUACACAUACCAGAUCUAAAGCCAACGGACAACACAAUAUCCUGGAAACGAAAACCCAUAUAUGAGAGACGAGAUGAAAUAAAACAGAAAACACUUUCGACAAAGAACACGACCGAUCAGAUCAAAAAUAGGAAAACUGGAAUAAAACCAUAAACGAUUUAAAGCAAGUGAAAUUUAGAAUUGUUUUUUUUUUCUCAGCAAUUAAAUGCAUGUGGAAACUAAUU
This 334-nucleotide long non-coding RNA is filed under the name Brassica rapa (field mustard). RNAcentral's name for it is "long non-coding RNA (BRAP_LNC000548)". The record is from RNAcentral. Lineage: Eukaryota; Viridiplantae; Streptophyta; Magnoliopsida; Brassicales; Brassicaceae.